UCAGAUGUGGUGUAGUGGGAACACGGCCUCUAGAGCUGGCGUAAAGCAUAUUGCUGGCACUUUCAGAGGCAGCCUAGGGUUCGAGUCCCUGCGUCUGGC
Mycena vulgaris is the source of this 99-nucleotide non-coding RNA. NCBI's taxonomy places the organism in Eukaryota, Fungi, Basidiomycota, Agaricomycetes, Agaricales, Mycenaceae. The record is from the annotation of a GenBank genome assembly.